AUGGGAAAAAGAGCGAGCUCGAAAGCGGGGAAAAAGGCCGCCGUCGCCGGCGCCGGCGCCAAUGACAGAAAAGAGCGGCGCGAUGAGACAGAGGCGCAGAAGGUAGAGCGGCUGCAGGCAACUCUGGCGUUUGUGAAGGCGGCGCACGCGGACGCCAUGCUUUACCUUGACAUGGAGGAGGAGGACGUGGAGGAGGAGUACCGGAGGGCGGGCAGGCUCCACACCUACGACCAGGACAAUGAGUGGAAGAAGCGUUUGGCCAGGGUCGCCAAACUCUACCCGCCUCCCAAGCACAUCAUGGAAGAGAUCAGUGAAUAUACCAAGUACCUCGAGGAAGACGAGGACGACUUCAGGAUAGGCCUUUGUCAAUUGAUCGAGGUGAAAUCAGAUUUUGAGAAAUCUUUUUAG
RNAcentral lists this ribosomal RNA (408 nucleotides) under Triticum aestivum (bread wheat). RNAcentral's name for it is "partial small subunit ribosomal RNA". Lineage: Eukaryota; Viridiplantae; Streptophyta; Magnoliopsida; Poales; Poaceae. The record is from RNAcentral.